GGCUCUAGCCAUGCUGGACUGAAUGCACCCAGAAAAAUCUAAUCUUGAAAGCUAAGCAAUCCCAGGCCUAGGCAGUACUUGGAGGACAGACCAUCUUUGAAUCCCAGGUGCUAUAGGCA
Non-coding RNA from Aptenodytes forsteri (emperor penguin), 119 nucleotides. The record is from Rfam. Lineage: Eukaryota; Metazoa; Chordata; Aves; Sphenisciformes; Spheniscidae.